UCCACCGGGACCCCACCAUUCGGCUGAAAUGUCUCGCAUAGUCUGAACGGAGGACGGAAUUGCGUACCCAAAAAGGAGCCUCGAGUUGCUCCAGGAGACCCAUGACCAGCUGGAGAGAUUGCUGUCAGCCGACUUAAGCCAGCGGGGCCCUACCUUUUCGCAUUAUUCGCCUUGCUGGAUCGGGGUCUCCUGAGGCGUCCUUCCAAAUGCCGGGCGCUCUGAUGAAGCAUGCAUUUCAUUCCAUGCCUGGCCGUCAGCGCCUGAGCGUGGAAACGUUAGUUGUUU
RNAcentral lists this long non-coding RNA (285 nucleotides) under Volvox carteri. RNAcentral describes it as "long non-coding RNA (VCAR_LNC001160)". Lineage: Eukaryota; Viridiplantae; Chlorophyta; Chlorophyceae; Chlamydomonadales; Volvocaceae. The record is from RNAcentral.